CAAUAGCGUAUAUUAAAGUUGUUGCGGUUAAAAAGCUCGUAGUUGGAUUUCUGCCGAGGACGACCCGGUCCGCCUAUUUGGGUGUGUAUCUGGUUUGACCGAGGCAUACUUUUGGAAUUCGUUGCUGCACUUAACUGUGUGGCUCGGAAACCAAAACCUUUACUUUGAGGAAAUUAGAGUGUUCAAAGCAGGCCAACGCCUUGAAUACAUUAGCAUGGAAUAAUGGAAUAGGACUUUGGUCUUAUUUUGUUGGUUUCUAAGGCCGAGGUAAUGAUUAAUAGGGAUAGUUGGGGGCGUUUAUAUUCCGUUGUCAGAGGUGAAAUUCUUGGAUUUACGGAAGAUAAACUACUGCGAAAGCAUUCGCCAAGGAUGUUUUUCAUUAAUCAAGAACGAAAGUUAGGGGAUCGAAGACGAUUAGAUACCAU
RNAcentral lists this ribosomal RNA (425 nucleotides) under uncultured eukaryote. RNAcentral's name for it is "bacterial SSU rRNA". It matches the Rfam family "Eukaryotic small subunit ribosomal RNA", at positions 592 to 1018 of the family's 1831-position model. The record is from RNAcentral.